UUUUUGAAUUUAAUAUAAAGUCUAAUCUGCCCACUGAUAAUUUAUUAAAGGGCUGCAGUAUUUUGACUGUACAAAGGUAGCAUAAUCAUUUGUCUCUUAAUUGGUGACUUGUAUGAAAGAUUUGAUGAAAUAUGAACUGUCUCAUUAUAAUAAAUAAAAUUUAAUUUUUUAGUAAAAAAGCUAAAAUAAUUUUAAAAGACGAGAAGACCCUAUAGAGUUUAAUAGUUAUUUUUAUAUAAAAUAAAAUAUAAAAAUUUAAAUUUAAAUGAAAAUAAUUAUUUUGUUGGGGUGAUAGAAAAAUUAAAUUAACUUUUUUUUAAAAAUAAACAUAAAUAAGUGAAUAAAUGAUCCAUUAGUAAUGAUUAUAAGAAAAAAUUACCUUAGGGAUAACAGCGUAAUUUUUUUUUUUAGGCCAAAUAAGAAAAAGAGUUUGCGACCUCGAUGUUGGAUUAAGAUAAAAUUUAAAUGUAAAAGUUUAAAGUUUUGAUCUGUCCGAUCAUUAAAA
Molecule: ribosomal RNA, 505 nt
Filed under: Troides plato plato
Lineage: Eukaryota; Metazoa; Arthropoda; Insecta; Lepidoptera; Papilionidae
Description: partial 16S ribosomal RNA
Source: RNAcentral